This 788-nucleotide long non-coding RNA is filed under the name Homo sapiens (human). Its description in RNAcentral is "non-protein coding lnc-NKAP-4:6". The record is from RNAcentral. Lineage: Eukaryota; Metazoa; Chordata; Mammalia; Primates; Hominidae.
ACACAGCCACCGGAGGCGUCCUGAGCAGCAGCCCACUCCCUGUCCCCUGCAGGCGUCCGACCCGAAGUCCACGCGCCGGAACUCGGACCAGGAGCCAGAGGACCCCAGCGCAGAAUCCGCGGAGACGCACGGCUUCGUCGACCACGCUCCCAGGUGGCGUUCCAGCCCAGAUCCGGCCACGAAGACACCGGCGACCUCGGCCUGGGUUUCCUGUUCGAUGAGCUCCAGAAAGAAGACGAUGCGAAGGAUAUAGAGACUUCAGUGACUGAAGCUGGAGGAGACGAUGAGAAGAAAAUACGGACCAAACCCGAGCAGGGAGCAGGAGCAGGAAAAGAAAGUCACGUGUACGCGGGAGCUGCGGACCCCAUGAUCCACGAGAACCAGAAGGGCGGUGGUGGCCACCAGGAGCCCUGGCAGCAGCAGCCUGAGGAGUUGGCCCAGGACUCCUCCGCUGAGGAUCCGCAACCCCAAGAUCAGGAGCGUCUAUUCAGCCCCAGCACGUUCGGCGGGUUGCACCUGAAGGAGCUAGACAGCAUUUUCUGACCUUCUCAAUAUCCGGACAUGUUCGCUUGAAAGCAACUGGCAAUAUGCAUGGAUGUGAGUGAAGCUGAAGUGGAAGCCAGUAAGCCUGAUGAAAGCAAUUGGUCAGAGUAGCCACUCUGAAACCUGCCUCAGACCUUGGAUACUUUGUCCUACACAUUCUCCAAUUGGCCUGGUAACUUCACCGGAUGAAGAAAUCUAGGUUGUUGGUGUUUUUCUUUGAACACCUCUUCUUGCUCUUCGAUAGG